This is a long non-coding RNA of Pan paniscus (pygmy chimpanzee), 616 nucleotides long. Lineage: Eukaryota; Metazoa; Chordata; Mammalia; Primates; Hominidae. The record is from Ensembl.
CUUUCUUAUUAAACAUGUGACUCUAGCUUUGCCACCUCUCUCUCAUUGAGUAGUCUAUUUCCCCCGUCUUGAAUCUGGGCUGGGUUUGUGACCUCUCUGAUUAAUGGAAUGUGGUGGAAGUGAUGCUGUAUGACUUCCAAACCUUUACCUGAAAAGAUCUUCUACCUUCUACCCUUGCUGCCUUGGAACCUGGGACCACCAUGCUGUGAAGACUCCAGGGACAUGAGGCCAUGUGGAGAGAGUCCCAACCAUUACAACCAUCCCAGCCAUUCAGCCUGAUCCCCCACACUGAGUCUGUUAUUGGUGUUCUUGUACUCUCCCAGGAUAGAAAUCAAGAGAGAUCACCAGCCACAGCAGCAAAGAAAAAGAGAAAGCUUCAUUUAGCUGGUGCGCAGGGAAAGGCAGCACCAUGGAAGUAGUUAACAGUUCUGCAGAACAUUUUAGAAAUGGUAACAUAAGUAUAAACAACAAAACAGUGAGAUUCUGAUACCAACUUCCAGUUCCUCCUCACCAAGACUUUGUGAAAACUCUUCAGCUCAUCUGGCAAAACGAACAGGUUAUGUUCUGGUUCCUUCUGGAUGUUCUUUUUAAUAUCUCACACUUUUCCAGGCUUUUG